GACUGCUCAGUACACGUGGAUACCUACCCUUAGGACCGGAAUACCCCGGGAAACUGGGAUAUACCGGAUAGCCAUAGACGCUGGAAUGCCCUAUGGUUCAAGCUCCGGCGCCUAAGGAUGGAUCUGCGGUCUAUCAGGUUGUAGUGGGUGUAACGUACCUACUAGCCGACGACGGAUACGGGUUGUGAGAGCAAGAGCCCGGAGAUGGAUUCUGAGACACGAAUCCAGGCCCUACGGGGUGCAGCAGGCGCGAACACUUUACAAUGCGGGAAACCGCGAUAAGGGAACCCCGAGUGCCAGCAUCAAAUGUUGGCUGUCCAGAUGAUUAAAAAUCAUUUGUUAGCAAGGGCCGGGCAAGACCGGUGCCAGCCGCCGCGGUAACACCGGCGGCCCGAGUGGUAGCCGUUUUAUUGGGUCUAAGGGUCCGUAGCGGCUUGAUAGUCCUUUGGGAAUCUGGCAGCUUAACUGUCAGGCUUCUAGGAUACUGUCAGGCUUGGGACCGGAAGAGGUAAGGGACUCCAGGGUAGGAGUGAAAUCUUGUAAUCCCUGGGGGACCAUCUGUGGCGAAGGCGCCUACCAGAACGGGUCCGACACGUGAGGGACGAAAGCUAGGGGAGCAAACCGGAUUAGAUACCCGGGUAGUCCUAGCUGCAAACGAUGCUCNNUAGGUGUCAGACACGGUGCGACCGUGUUUGGUGCCGCAGGGAAGCCGUUAAGCGAGCCACCUGGGAAGUACGGUCGCAAGGCUGAAACUUAAAGGAAUUGGCGGGGGAGCACUACAACGGGUGGAGCCUGCGGUUUAAUUGGAUUCAACGCCGGAAAACUCACCGGGUGCGACAGCAACAUGUAGUCAGGCUGAAGGUCUUACCUGAAUCGCUGAGAGCAGAUGCAUGGCCGUCGUCAGUUCGUACUGUGAAGCAUCCUGUAAGUCAGGCAACGAGCGAGACCGCGCCACAGUUGCCAGCAUGUCUCGGACGAUGGGUACACUGUGGGGACCGCCGCUGCUAAGCGGAGGAGGACGGGCUACGGUAGGUCAGUAUGCCCCGAAUCUCCCGGGCUACACGCGGGCUACAAUGGUUGGACAAUGGGCACCUACCCUGAAAAGGGACGGUAAUCUCCUAAACCCAACCGUAGUUCGGAUUGAGGGCUGUAACUCGCCCUCAUGAAGCUGGAAUCCGUAGUAACCGCGUUUCAACAUAGCGCGGUGAAUACGUCCCUGCUCCUUGCACACACCGCCCGUCAAACCAUGCGAGUGAGGUCUGGGUGAGGGCAUGUUUAUGACAUGUUCGAACCUGGGCUUCGCAAGUGGGGUU
This 1313-nucleotide ribosomal RNA is filed under the name uncultured archaeon. Its description in RNAcentral is "16S ribosomal RNA". It matches the Rfam family "Archaeal small subunit ribosomal RNA". The record is from RNAcentral.